This 253-nucleotide ribosomal RNA is filed under the name uncultured bacterium. Its description in RNAcentral is "partial 16S ribosomal RNA". It matches the Rfam family "Bacterial small subunit ribosomal RNA", at positions 524 to 776 of the family's 1533-position model. The record is from RNAcentral.
UACGAAGGGUGCAAGCGUUAAUCGGAAUUACUGGGCGUAAAGCGUGCGCAGGCGGUUGUGCAAGACCGAUGUGAAAUCCCCGGGCUUAACCUGGGAAUGGCAUUGGUGACUGCACGGCUAGAGUGUGUCAGAGGGGGGUAGAAUUCCACGUGUAGCAGUGAAAUGCGUAGAGAUGUGGAGGAAUACCGAUGGCGAAGGCAGCCCCCUGGGAUAACACUGACGCUCAUGCACGAAAGCGUGGGGAGCAAACAGG